GACGAACGCUGGCGGCGUGCUUAACACAUGCAAGUCGAACGAUGAAGCUGGAGCUUGCUCCGGUGGAUUAGUGACGAACGGGUGAGUAACACGUGAGAAAUCUGCCCUUGACUCUGGGAUAACUGCGGGAAACUGUAGCUAAUACCGGAUAUUUCCCUUGGUGGGCAUCCACUGGGGAAGAAAGAAUUUCGGUCAAGGAUGAUCUCGCGGCCUAUCAGCUAGUUGGUGAGGUAAUGGCUCACCAAGGCGACGACGGGUAGCCGGCCUGAGAGGGUGACCGGCCACACUGGGACUGAGACACGGCCCAGACUCCUACGGGAGGCAGCAGUGGGGAAUAUUGCACAAUGGGCGCAAGCCUGAUGCAGCAACGCCGCGUGAGGGAUGAAGGCCUUCGGGUUGUAAACCUCUUUUAGCAGGGAAGAAGCGAAAGUGACGGUACCUGCAGAAAAAGCACCGGCUAACUACGUGCCAGCCGCCGCAGUAA
This 484-nucleotide ribosomal RNA is filed under the name uncultured bacterium. RNAcentral's name for it is "partial 16S ribosomal RNA". It matches the Rfam family "Bacterial small subunit ribosomal RNA", at positions 28 to 523 of the family's 1533-position model. The record is from RNAcentral.